UACGUAGGGUCCGAGCGUUAAUCGGAAUUACUGGGCGUAAAGCGCGCGCAGGCGGUCCUUCAAGUCAGAGGUGAAAGCCCAGGGCUCAACCCUGGAACUGCCUUUGAAACUGGAGGACUUGAGUACGGGAGAGGUGAGUGGAAUUCCGAGUGUAGAGGUGAAAUUCGUAGAUAUUCGGAAGAACACCAGUGGCGAAGGCGGCUCACUGGCCCGUUACUGACGCUCAGGCGCGACAGCGUGGGGAGCAAACAGG
This 253-nucleotide ribosomal RNA is filed under the name uncultured bacterium. Its description in RNAcentral is "partial 16S ribosomal RNA". It matches the Rfam family "Bacterial small subunit ribosomal RNA", at positions 524 to 776 of the family's 1533-position model. The record is from RNAcentral.